This 497-nucleotide ribosomal RNA is filed under the name uncultured bacterium. RNAcentral's name for it is "partial 16S ribosomal RNA". It matches the Rfam family "Bacterial small subunit ribosomal RNA", at positions 28 to 507 of the family's 1533-position model. The record is from RNAcentral.
GAUGAACGCUGGCGGCGUGCCUAAUACAUGCAAGUCGAGCGAACAGACGAGGAGCUUGCUCCUCUGACGUUAGCGGCGGACGGGUGAGUAACACGUGGAUAACCUACCUAUAAGACUGGGAUAACUUCGGGAAACCGGAGCUAAUACCGGAUAAUAUAUUGAACCGCAUGGUUCAAUAGUGAAAGACGGUUUUGCUGUCACUUCUCGAUGGAUCCGCGCCGCAUUAGCUAGUUGGUAAGGUAACGGCUUACCAAGGCAACGAUGCGUAGCCGACCUGAGAGGGUGAUCGGCCACACUGGAACUGAGACACGGUCCAGACUCCUACGGGAGGCAGCAGUAGGGAAUCUUCCGCAAUGGGCGAAAGCCUGACGGAGCAACGCCGCGUGAGUGAUGAAGGUCUUCGGAUCGUAAAACUCUGUUAUUAGGGAAGAACAAAUGUGUAAGUAACUAUGCACGUCUUGACGGUACCUAAUCAGAAAGCCACGGCUAACUACGUG